RNAcentral lists this ribosomal RNA (207 nucleotides) under uncultured bacterium. Its description in RNAcentral is "partial 16S ribosomal RNA". It matches the Rfam family "Bacterial small subunit ribosomal RNA", at positions 568 to 774 of the family's 1533-position model. The record is from RNAcentral.
CACGUAGGCGGCUUCUUAAGUCAGGGGUGAAAUCCUGGAGCUCAACUCCAGAACUGCCCUUGAUACUGAGAAGCUUGAGUCCGGGAGAGAUGAGUGGAACUGCGAGUGUAGAGGUGAAAUUCGUAGAUAUUCGCAAGAACACCAGUGGCGAAGGCGGCUCACUGGCCCGGUACUGACGCUGAGGUGCGAAAGCGUGGGGAGCAAACA